GAUGAACGCUAGCUACAGGCUUAACACAUGCAAGUCGCGGGGUAACAUCUGGGAGAGCUUGCUCUUCCAGGAUGACGACCGGCGCACGGGUGAGUAACGCGUAUCCAACCUGGCCCAUACCACGGGAUAGCCCGUCGAAAGGCGGAUUAAUACCGUAUGCUGUCAUUAAGAUGCAUAUAUUGAUGACGAAAGGACUGGCGGUAUGGGAUGGGGAUGCGUCUGAUUAGCUUGUUGGCGGGGUAACGGCCCACCAAGGCGACGAUCGGUAGGGGUUCUGAGAGGAAGGUCCCCCACAUUGGAACUGAGACACGGGUCCAAACUCCUACGGGAGGCAGCAGUGAGGAAUAUUGGGUCAAUGGACGUAAGUCUGAACCAGCCAAGUAGCGUGCAGGAUGACGGCCCUAUGGGUUGUAAACUGCUUUUAUGCGGGGAUAAAGUGUGGGACGUGUCCCAUAUUGCAGGUACUGCAUGAAUAAGGACCGGCU
Molecule: ribosomal RNA, 485 nt
Filed under: uncultured bacterium
Lineage: Bacteria
Description: bacterial SSU rRNA
Rfam family: Bacterial small subunit ribosomal RNA
Source: RNAcentral